ACUCCUACGGGAGGCAGCAGUAGGGAAUCUUCCACAAUGGACGAAAGUCUGAUGGAGCAACGCCGCGUGAACGAUGAAGGCUUUCGGUCGUAAAGUUCUGUUGUAAGGGAAGAACAAGUGCCGCAGGCAAUGGCGGCACCUUGACGGUACCUUGCGAGAAAGCCACGGCUAACUACGUGCCAGCAGCCGCGGUAAUACGUAGGUGGCAAGCGUUGUCCGGAAUUAUUGGGCGUAAAGCGCGCGCAGGCGGCCUCUUAAGUCUGAUGUGAAAGCCCCCGGCUCAACCGGGGGAGGGCCAUUGGAAACUGGGAGGCUUGAGUAUAGGAGAGAAGAGUGGAAUUCCACGUGUAGCGGUGAAAUGCGUAGAGAUGUGGAGGAACACCAGUGGCGAAGGCGACUCUUUGGCCUAUAACUGACGCUGAGGCGCGAAAGCGU
Molecule: ribosomal RNA, 435 nt
Filed under: uncultured bacterium
Lineage: Bacteria
Description: bacterial SSU rRNA
Rfam family: Bacterial small subunit ribosomal RNA
Source: RNAcentral